CACACGCAGCCCCAAAUGCUGUUUCUCUCUUUCUCCCUCUGUUUCCGGAUUCAACUUCAAAUGCCCAUCCGCCAUUCCAUCCAUCGGUCUUUCUUCACUUCUCUGUUGCUUCUCCUUCGUUCAAUUCUGUCUGUUACAAGAGACAAGACAGAAAAUUGAGAAAAGAAAAAGGCAGAAUCUCUCUCUCGCUCUUUCUCGAGCGCGCGCGCAGAGACGGUGACGGCCAACGAUGCCUCGCUGGAGAAGGAAGAAAAGUGAGAAGAAGAAGAAGCCUGAUUCGCCAACUAACGUUCCAGAUGGUGGUGGCAGUGAGAUAAAAGGGGAAAAGGGAAAUGGUGCUGCAUUCCAUGAUCAUGGUGAUGGUGGACAUAAAGCUGUUGUUGCCUCUUCAAAGUCAUCUGAGUCAAAGCGGACAAAUCCUGUGGUAAAUGGUGUUGCAUUCCAUGAUCAUGGUGAUGGUGGACAUAAAGCUGUUGUUGCCUCUCCAAAGUCAUCUGAGUCAAAGCGGACAAAUGCUGUGGUAAAUGGUGCUGCAUUCCAUGAUCAUGGUGAUGGUGGACAUAAAGCUGUUGUUGCCUCUCCAAAGUCAUCUGAGUCAAAGCGGACAAAUGCUGUGGUAAAUGGUGCUGCAUUCCAUGAUCAUGGUGAUGGUGGACAUAAAGCUGUCGCUGCCUCUCCAAAGUCAUCUGAGUCAAAGCAAACAAAUGCUGAUAACUCGGAUCCCAAAAUGGAGAAUAGCUCAAGUCGAAAGAUGGAGAAGGGCUCGAAUGCGAGGAUGGAGAACAGCUCAAACCCGAAAAUGGAGAACUCACAUCUUCCUUCCCACGAUUCUAACGACAACGGCGGGCAAACCGCCAAAGAUUUGGAGGUGCAGAAAAAUGACGACGAAGAUGGAUGGUUAAAAGGGGAUGCCAUUGUCGGUGUUGUGGAUGGAAAAAAUGAAGGUGAACUGGAGGAGAAAAGCAAAAUUGUGGAGCCAUUGAAGGACAACCAGCAGAGAGCGUCUAAUGGUAGCCCCAGCGAUGAUGGUACCGCAGUUAGUGAUUCUGGAAAGCAAACCAAGGAGCAAGGAACUACCUUGACUGUUUCGGGUGUCACUGACCGAGAGAAUGCAGUAAGUUCUGAAGUUCUUAAAAAUGAACUUCCAAUCAAGAGUCCUGAAGCCAUCAUUGAAACCGGAAAGGGAGAAAUCACAGCAGAUGAUACAGGAUUACCUGAAUCAGGAAAAGAAGAAUCAAGUGAGAAUGUUGAUAGGAAUGCAGUAAGUUCGGAAGUUCUUCAAAAUGAACUUCCAAUCGAGAGUCCUGAAGCCAUUAUUGAAACCGGAAAGGAAGAAAACACAUCAGAUGAUACAGGGUUGGCUGAAUCAGAAAAAGAAGAAUCAAGAGAGAAUGUUGACAAGAAUGCAGUAAGUUCGGCAGUUCUUAAAAAUGAACUUCCAAUCAAGAAUCCUGAAGCCAUUAUUGAAACCGGAAAAGGAGAAAGCACAGCAGAUGAUACAGGAUUGCCUGAAUCAGGAAAAGAAGAAUCAAGAGAGAAAGUUGAGAGGAAUGCAGUAAGUUCGGAAUUUCUUCAAAAUGAACUUCCAAUCAAGAGUCCUGAAGCCAUUAUUGAAACCGGAAAGGAAGAAAGCACAUCAGUUGAUACAGGAUUGGCUGAAUCAGAAAAAGAAGAAUCAAGAGAGAAUGUUGAUAAGAAUGCAGUAAGUUCGGCAGUUCUUAAAAAUGAACUUCCAAUCAAGAAUCCUGAAGCCAUUAUUGAAACCGGAAAGGGAGAAAGCACAGCAGAUGAUACGGGAUUGCCUGAACCAGAAAAAGAAGAAUCAAGACAGGAUGUUGAUAACUAUUGCGUUGUAGGCUUGGUUGAACCAACCAAGGAGGAACAUAUGGAGAUUGUGCCACUUCCUUCUUCUGUGGAAGUUCAUCACGAAAACAAGCAACAGGUGGUGAUUGAUACAGCGCACAGACCUCUUGAAGUCACAGAGAAUAUGGAUGACCAUGCUCGUGUAAACUCGGUUGAAAUACCAAGGGAAGAAAUCCCAGAGAUUGUGCCAUUUUAUUCGUCUGUGGAGGUUGAUCAGCAGGCAAACAAACCGGCGAUCACUGUUCGUGCUGCAGAUAAACCUGUUUCUCUGUCCUCCAAAGAUAGCGACGAACUGAAAACGGCAGAAACAGAGAGAACUUUACCACCAUUGAUCGAGCGACCAACUUCUUGGAAGUGUUGCUGUGGAUUGUUGGAUGUGUUUAUGGGCUCAAACAGAUGAAGCAAGGUGAAGUGGAUUCAGGAUUCCGAAGCAAUGUCAUCCCAAGACAUACUCAACUGACAUGUUAUAUUCAUCAACUUCUCUUGCAGACUGACUGGUAUUUCCCAGGAGAGGCAGUUCAUGGCUUUUUUGCACUUCUUGAACCGUCGGACUGGCACCCCAGUCACAAGACUGGGUGAAGAUGAAAAGAGAUGUUAAUGGCCUUAGGUCUCAAAGCAUUUGUGGGUGAAGAUUGCUACUGUCUUGGACACCUUGCUUCAGGAACUUGAUGUUGGCUGAUUGAUGGAUGGACAUGGAAGAACUGCUGAUUUCACCAAUACUGUAAUUAUAAUGACUUCAAAUGUUGGUCCCCAAAAGCUUCUUCUUCAGCAGAUAGACUUAUACUGGAGGUAAUUAGAGGCCGACUAUCAGAUACAAGAAUUGCUUUAGGAGAUCUGAUACAAUGUUGCUUAU
This is an RNA transcript of Nymphaea colorata (pocket water lily), 2716 nucleotides long. RefSeq lists it as uncharacterized. NCBI's taxonomy places the organism in Eukaryota, Viridiplantae, Streptophyta, Magnoliopsida, Nymphaeales, Nymphaeaceae. The record is from RefSeq and is a predicted model, not a curated record. The transcript is spliced from 5 exons.